This 68-nucleotide transfer RNA is filed under the name Hydrolagus alberti (gulf chimera). RNAcentral describes it as "tRNA-Asp". The record is from RNAcentral. Lineage: Eukaryota; Metazoa; Chordata; Chondrichthyes; Chimaeriformes; Chimaeridae. RNAcentral also lists the same sequence under 1 other name.
AAAGUACUAGUAAACUAUUACAAUAUCUUGUCAAGAUAUAAUCAUGGGUUGAACUCCCAUGUACUUUA